GGGCCCGUAGCUCAGCAUGGUUAGAGCGGCAGUUGUCGGCCGAGGCUCAUAACCUGUAGGUCCUGGGUUCGAGUCCCAGCGGGCCCA
Molecule: transfer RNA, 87 nt
Filed under: Nitrososphaeria archaeon
Lineage: Archaea; Thermoproteati; Nitrososphaerota; Nitrososphaeria
Description: tRNA-OTHER
Rfam family: tRNA
About the family: Transfer RNA (tRNA) molecules are approximately 80 nucleotides in length. Their secondary structure includes four short double-helical elements and three loops (D, anti-codon, and T loops).
Source: RNAcentral